RNAcentral lists this non-coding RNA (28 nucleotides) under Mus musculus (house mouse). The record is from RNAcentral. Lineage: Eukaryota; Metazoa; Chordata; Mammalia; Rodentia; Muridae.
UGGAAGCUAUUUGGAGACUUUAUGAGGA